RNAcentral lists this ribosomal RNA (252 nucleotides) under uncultured microorganism. RNAcentral's name for it is "partial 16S ribosomal RNA". It matches the Rfam family "Bacterial small subunit ribosomal RNA", at positions 524 to 776 of the family's 1533-position model. The record is from RNAcentral.
UACGUAGGUCCCGAGCGUUGUCCGGAUUUAUUGGGCGUAAAGCGAGCGCAGGUGGUUUAAUAAGUCUGAUGUAAAAGGCAGUGGCUCAACCAUUGUGUGCAUUGGAAACUGUUAGACUUGAGUGCAGUAGAGGAGAGUGGAAUUCCAUGUGUAGCGGUGAAAUGCGUAGAUAUAUGGAGGAACACCGGUGGCGAAAGCGGCUCUCUGGACUGUAACUGACACUGAGGCUCGAAAGCGUGGGGAGCAAACCGG